This 429-nucleotide ribosomal RNA is filed under the name uncultured archaeon. RNAcentral's name for it is "bacterial SSU rRNA". It matches the Rfam family "Archaeal small subunit ribosomal RNA", at positions 474 to 903 of the family's 1478-position model. The record is from RNAcentral.
UACCAGCUCUCCGAGUGGUGUGGAUGUUUAUUGGGCCUAAAGCAUCCGUAGCUGGCUGGGCAAGUCCCCUGUUAAAUCCACCGAUUUAAUCGUUGGUGUGCGGGGGAUACUGUUCGGCUAGGGGACGGGAGAGGCCGACGGUAUUUUCGGGGUAUGGGUGAAAUCCUAUAAUCCCGGGAAGACCACCAGUGGCGAAGGCUGUCGGCUAGAACGCGCCCGACGGUGAGGGAUGAAAGCUGGGGGAGCGAACCGGAUUAGAUACCCGGGUAGUCCCAGCUGUAAACGAUGCAGGCUAGGUGUUUGGGCGGCCACGUGCCGCUCUAGUGCCGCAGAGAAGUCGUUAAGCCUGCCGCCUGGGGAGUACGGCCGCAAGGCUGAAACUUAAAGGAAUUGGCGGGGGAGCACCACAAGGCGUGAAGCUUGCGGUUC